AACGAACGCUGGCGGCGCGCCUAAUACAUGCAAGUCGAGCGAGAAGACGUAGCAAUACGUUUGUAAAGCGGCGAACGGGUGAGGAGUACAUGGGUAACCUACCCUCGAGUGGGGAAUAACUAGCCGAAAGGUUAGCUAAUACCGCGUACGCUCCUUGGACUUCGGUUCAGGGAGGAAAGCGAUACCGUGGGUAUCGCGCUCUUGGAUGGGCUCAUGUCCUAUCAGCUUGUUGGUGAGGAACGGCUCACCAAGGCUUCGACGGGUAGCUGGUCUGAGAGGACAAUCAGCCACACUGGCACUGCGACACGGGCCAGACUCCUACGGGAGGCAGCAGUAAGGAAUAUUGCGCAAUGGGCGAAAGCCUGACGCAGCGACGCCGCGUGGGGGAUGAAGGUCUUCGGAUUGUAAACCCCUUUCGGGAGGGAAGAUGGAACGAGCAAUCGUUCGGACGGUACCUCCAGAAGCAGCCAC
RNAcentral lists this ribosomal RNA (471 nucleotides) under uncultured bacterium. RNAcentral's name for it is "bacterial SSU rRNA". It matches the Rfam family "Bacterial small subunit ribosomal RNA", at positions 29 to 494 of the family's 1533-position model. The record is from RNAcentral.